RNAcentral lists this ribosomal RNA (253 nucleotides) under uncultured bacterium. Its description in RNAcentral is "partial 16S ribosomal RNA". It matches the Rfam family "Bacterial small subunit ribosomal RNA", at positions 524 to 776 of the family's 1533-position model. The record is from RNAcentral.
UACGUAGGGUGCAAGCGUUGUCCGGAAUUAUUGGGCGUAAAGAGCUUGUAGGCGGUUUGUCGCGUCUGCUGUGAAAUUUCGGGGCUCAACCCCGAACUUGCAGUGGGUACGGGCAGGCUAGAGUGUGGUAGGGGAGACUGGAAUUCCUGGUGUAGCGGUGAAAUGCGCAGAUAUCAGGAGGAACACCGAUGGCGAAGGCAGGUCUCUGGGCCACUACUGACGCUGAGAAGCGAAAGCAUGGGUAGCGAACAGG